Molecule: ribosomal RNA, 490 nt
Filed under: uncultured bacterium
Lineage: Bacteria
Description: partial 16S ribosomal RNA
Rfam family: Bacterial small subunit ribosomal RNA
Source: RNAcentral
AUUGAACGCUGGCGGCAGGCCUAACACAUGCAAGUCGAACGGUAACAGGAAACAGCUUGCUGUUUCGCUGACGAGUGGCGGACGGGUGAGUAAUGUCUGGGAAACUGCCUGAUGGAGGGGGAUAACUACUGGAAACGGUAGCUAAUACCGCAUAACGUCGCAAGACCAAAGAGGGGGACCUUCGGGCCUCUUGCCAUCGGAUGUGCCCCGAUGGGAUUAGCUAGUAGGUGGGGUAACGGCUCACCUAGGCGACGAUCCCUAGCUGGUCUGAGAGGAUGACCAGCCACACUGGAACUGAGACACGGUCCAGACUCCUACGGGAGGCAGCAGUGGGGAAUAUUGCACAAUGGGCGCAAGCCUGAUGCAGCCAUGCCGCGUGUAUGAAGAAGGCCUUCGGGUUGUAAAGUACUUUCAGCGGGGAUGAAGGGAGUAAAGUUAAUACCUUUGCUCAUUGACGUUACCCGCAGAAGAAGCACCGGCUAACUCCGUG